CAGAGUUGCAAAACUCCCACAAACCAUCGCGAAUCUUACCCGUACGGUUGCCUCGGCGCUGGCGGUCCGGAAGGCCCUCGGGCCCCCCGGAUCCUCGGGUCUCCCGCUCGCGGGAGGCUGCCCGCCGGAGUGCCGAAACCAAACUCUUGAUAUUUUAUGUCUCUCUGAGUAAACUUUUAAAUAAGUUA
Molecule: unclassified non-coding RNA, 188 nt
Filed under: soil metagenome
Description: partial internal transcribed spacer 1
Source: RNAcentral